AGUGAACGCUGGCGGUAGGCCUAACACAUGCAAGUCGAACGGCAGCACAGUAAGAGCUUGCUCUUACGGGUGGCGAGUGGCGGACGGGUGAGGAAUACAUCGGAAUCUACUUUUUCGUGGGGGAUAACGUAGGGAAACUUACGCUAAUACCGCAUGCGACCUACGGGUGAAAGCAGGGGAUCUUCGGACCUUGCGCGAUUGAAUGAGCCGAUGUCGGAUUAGCUAGUUGGCGGGGUAAAGGCCCACCAAGGCGACGAUCCGUAGCUGGUCUGAGAGGAUGAUCGGCCACACGGGAACGGAGACACGGUCCAGACUCCUACGGGAGGCAGCAGUGGGGAAUAUUGGACAAUGGGCGCAAGCCUGAUCCAGCCAUACCGCGUGGGUGAAGAAGGCCUUCGGGUUGUAAAGCCCUUUUGUUGGGAAAGAAAAGCAGCAGGUUAAUACCCCGCUGUUCUGACGGUACCCAAAGAAUAAGCACCGGCUAACUUCGUG
Molecule: ribosomal RNA, 492 nt
Filed under: uncultured bacterium
Lineage: Bacteria
Description: partial 16S ribosomal RNA
Rfam family: Bacterial small subunit ribosomal RNA
Source: RNAcentral